AAGAUUUGGAUAUGUCAGAGGCCUUCGGCAUCACUGUUAAUAGGAACCACCAUUUGCAUUUGGUUCCCACGGUUAAGCGGCCUUUGUCCGCAGCUGCUUGAUGACUCAUAAAUUUUCUCAAUUUCAUCACUCAUAAAAUAAAAAACCCUUUUCAUAUUUACGUGCUAUACAUUUCAUGUUGUUAGGCCUCAGUUUUGGCAUGCAAUAAAACCGUUGUGAGAGAUAUUACGUUUGGUUGAUUACUAUUUUUUUGAUUUGACCUCAUUGUUCAUAGACAAGAAUUGAAUUAUAAAAAUUGAAGAGAAAAAAAACUAAAGAUUAUAAAAAUUGAAUUUGUAAACCAUAAUUAACUAUUGAUUGCGGACUUCGCACCCAAGCUUUUGUCCCUAACUCAGCAAGAAUCUUCCAGCUGGAUCAGAAUUUUAUUAUAAAAUAGCAAGUGGUUAUAUAUGCAGCUUAAUUAUAUAGUUUUU
Molecule: long non-coding RNA, 473 nt
Filed under: Salvia miltiorrhiza (redroot sage)
Lineage: Eukaryota; Viridiplantae; Streptophyta; Magnoliopsida; Lamiales; Lamiaceae
Description: long non-coding RNA (SMIL_LNC008896)
Source: RNAcentral